GACGUAGGGCGCGAGCGUUGUCCGGAUUUAUUGGGCGUAAAGAGCUCGUAGGCGGCUUGUUGCGUCGUCCGUGAAAACCUGUGGCUCAACCACAGGCUUGCGGUCGAUACGGGCGGGCUGGAGUUCGGUAGGGGAGACUGGAAUUCCUGGUGUAGCGGUGAAAUGCGCAGAUAUCAGGAGGAACACCAAUGGCGAAGGCAGCUCGCUGGGACGGUACUGACGCUGAGACGCGAAAGCGUGGGGAGCAAACAGG
RNAcentral lists this ribosomal RNA (253 nucleotides) under uncultured bacterium. Its description in RNAcentral is "partial 16S ribosomal RNA". It matches the Rfam family "Bacterial small subunit ribosomal RNA", at positions 524 to 776 of the family's 1533-position model. The record is from RNAcentral.